ACUGAUGUAUUCAAUGAGUUUAUAACCUUGGCGGACAGGCUCGGGUAAUCUUUGAAAUUUUAUAAUGAUGGGGAUAGAUCAUUGCAAUUGUUGGUCUUCAAUGAGGAAUUCCUAGUAAGUGCGAGCCAUCAGCUUGUGUUGACUACAUCCCUGCCCUUUGUACACACCGUCUGUCGCUCCUACCAAUUGAAUGAUUUGGUAAAAUGUUCAAAUUCUGACAAUGUGGGUGGCUCACUGCCUGCAACGUCGUGAGAAGUCCAUUAAACCUUAUCAAUUAGAGGAAGAAAAGUCAUAACAAGGUUUCAGUAGGUGAACCUGCGGAAGGAUCAUUGUCAAAACUUGUAGAGCAGAAUGACCCACAAACGUGUUUAAUAACUGGGGAGCCCACGAGGGUGGAUUUCUUUGGCCCUCAGCACGAGAACCUUCCCUCAUCCUCGGUGCACGCACCCAGUACGCGCGUCGGGCAACUAAUGAACACCAAUGCGAAAAGCACUAAGGAAUACUCAAAUUGACAGCCUGCACCUCACUCUCCAUUUGUGGCGUGGAUCAAGGGGACGUGUGCUUCUCUUAUAAAUAAAAAUUACUCUCGGCAAUGGAUAUCUUGGCUCUCGUAUCGAUGAAAAACAUAGUGAAAUACAGUACUUGGUGUGAAUUGUAGAAUCUCAUGAACUAUUGACUCUUUGAAUGCAAGUUGCACCUGAAGCCAUUAGGCCAAGGGCACGUCUGCCUGGACAUCAUACAUCACGUCGCCCCCUUACAUCGUGCCUUAAUCAUGGGUUGUGCUUCCAUCGUGGGGCGGAUAUUGGCCUCCCAUUCACCUCGAGCUCGCGACUGGCCUAAAUGCGAGUCCACAAAGUUGGACGUGGCAAGUGGUGGUUGUAACUCAACUCUCUUUGCAGUCGCGACUACAACUCGUCGUGUAUUUGGACUCCAAGACCCUACCAUGCUUAGGCUCUCUAACUGCAACCCCAGUUUAGGAGGGAUUACCCACUGAGUUUAAGCAUAUCAAUAAGCGGAGGAAAAGAAACUUACAAUGAUUCCCUUAGUAACGACGAGCGAACCAGGAACAACCCAUCCUUAGAAUCAGGUGGCUCCAUCUUCUAAAUUGCAGUCUGGAGAGGCGUCCUCAGUGGUGAACAAGUCCCAAUUCCCCUGGAANUAGAAAAUAUUCAAAUGAGAACUUUGAAGGCUGAAGAGGCUAAAGGUUCCAUGUAAAUGGCACUUUCACUUGGGUUAGUCGAUCCUAAGGUUCAGGGGAACCCCGAUAGAUAGCGCAUUUCGUGCAUACUCCUAAAGAAAAUCAAGUUAAAAUUUUUUGAAUAGGGAUGUGGUGGUCGACAAAAACAUUAGAAAGUCUGGAGAUGUCAGCGGGAGCCUCGGGAAGAGUUAUUUUUUCUAUUUAAAAGCCUGCCCACCCUGAAAUCGGCUUAGCCAAAGCUAGGGUCCAGCGACUAGAAGAGCACCGCACAUCGCGUGGUGUCUGAUGUGCUCCCGGCGACUCAUGUAAAUCUAAAAGACCAAAUGUUGUACAUUCCCAGUCGUACUCAUAACCGCAUCAGGUUUUCAAGGUGAACAGCCUCUGGUCAAUGGAACAAUGUAGGCAAGGGAAGUCAGCAAAAUGGAUCCGUAACUUUGGGAAAAGGAUUGGAUCUGAGGGCUGUGCACGGAGAUCCCAGUCCUGAUUCAUCGGCUUUUGGUUAGAAUUCUUGAGAUGCUCCCGUAGUAAGAGCAGGUUGUCGUGUGCCGGCUGGGGGACAAACUGGGAAGGGUUCCUUCGGGGGCCUUCCCCACACAUCGAAUAACCAACUCAGAAAUUAUACUGACAAAGGGAAUCCGACUGUUUAAUUAAAACAAAGCAUUGCGAUGGUCCCAACGGAUGUUCACAUAAUGUGAUUUCUGCCUAGUGCUCUAAAUGUCAAAGUGAAAAAAUUCAACCAAGCACGGGUAAACGGAGGAAGUAACAAUGACUCUCUUAAGGUAUCCAAAUGCCUCGUCAUCUAAUUAGUGACACGCAUGAAUUGAUUAACGAGACUCCCACUAUCCCAGUCUACUAUCCAGUGAAACCAAAGCCAAAGGAACGGGCUUAGCAGAGUCUGUGAGGAAAGAAGACCCUAUUGAGCUUGACUCUAGUCUGACUUUAUGAAAUAACUUGAGAGGCAUAGUAUAAAUGUGAUUCGAAAGGCGAAACUGAAACACCACUACUUUUAACAAUAUUUUACUUAUUUCGUGAAUUGAAAGUGGGGCACUGCCGCUCUUUUUGGACCCAAGGCUCGAUCUACAGGCCAAACCAGGUAGAAGACAUUGUUAGGUGGGCAGUUUCGCUGGGGCAGCACAUCUGUUAAAGAAAUCUCAUGUGGAACAGAAAUUUAAAAGCUAGUUUGAUUAUGAUUUUUAGUACGAAUACGAACCGUGAAAACAUGGCCUAACGAUCCUUUAGACCUUUAGAAUUCGAAGCUAGAGGUGUCAAAAAAUUUACCACAGGGAUAACUAGUUUGUGGCAGCCAAGCGUUCAUAACGACAUUGCUCUUUGAACUUUCGAUGUCGUCUCUUCUUAUCAUUGUGAAACAGAAUUCACGAAGUGUUGGAUUGUUCACCGACUGAUAGGGAAUGUGAGCUGGGUUUAGACCAUCAUGAGAAAGGUUAGUUUUGUCCUACUGAUUAUCAUACUUACUUAACUUGGUUUUCCUCCUAACCAGUGCUUAAUUUAGCAUCGCGGUACGGCCCAAUUAACUUUUUCCUCCACCUAGAGGAUAUGAAUUUCACCUCCAACUUCAUAUCUAUUUUUUUUUCCUCGAUCAUAGGGAGGUGUUACAAACAUUUAGGAAUCGAGUAAUGGAAUAUGCAUGAUAAACCACUCAGCCUUGAAGAGAGGUGUGUGUUUUAUGUUACUUUUCUUGUGCAAAAUUAAGAAUAUAGGAUUCUUAUUCCUCAUCUUCACACUUUCCUACUGCUUUAAAUGACUCCACAAACAAGACAUCAUCUAAACAUAAUGUAUAAAAGAGUUUUG
RNAcentral lists this ribosomal RNA (3007 nucleotides) under Capsicum baccatum. RNAcentral describes it as "eukaryotic LSU rRNA". The stretch from base 964 to 2665 matches the Rfam family "Eukaryotic large subunit ribosomal RNA". Lineage: Eukaryota; Viridiplantae; Streptophyta; Magnoliopsida; Solanales; Solanaceae. The record is from RNAcentral.